AAAAUUGCUUCUUAAUUAAUGUUUGCUUUGCAACUGACUCAAGCAAAAAGUUUAUAGUGUGUAGAAAUGCAUUUGGAGAAGGCAGUGGCACCCCACUCCAGUACUCUGGCCUGGAAAAUCCCGUAAAUGGAGGAGCCUGGUAGGCUGCGGUCCAUGGGGUCACUAAGAGUCGGACACGACUAAGCAACUUCACUUUCACUUUUCACUUUCAUGCAUUGGAGAAGGAAAUGGCAAGCCACUUCAGCUUUCUUGCCUGGAGAAUCCCAGGGAUGGGGGAGCCUGGUGGGCCACCGUCUAUGGGGUUGCACAGAGUCGGACACGACUGAAGCGACUUAGCAGCAGCAGCAGCAGCAGAAAUGAAUUGCCAUAAAUGACAACUGGAACUCCCUUCUUCAGGGUCAAGUGCAGCCUUUUAGAGAGAAGUAUUUGUAGAAGGAGCAGAUCUGCUUCUGAUUUUAGUUCACCCAGAGGCAUGCAGGCUUUUUGGAUCAAUUAUUACCAGACCUUGAGAUAAAUCACCUUCUGUGCCAUUAGUACUUGAAGGAUUAGUGCCCUCAAAAGAUUUAUGUGCGGAUUAAUUGGGGAGUGUACAUUAGAUUGCUGUGUUUAGAACCACCAUCAUCCUGCAAAUCAUUUUCAUUAGUGCUUUAUUCAAAAUUCUCUAGCCUUAUAUAAUACUGGCAUUGCAGGGAAAUCUGAACAAGGCUUUUAUUUAUUUAUUUGUUUGUGGUUUGGCCUUGGCCUCGCCCCCACGCCUUACCCCCUACAGUAGAGUUUAAUAGCACUGGCUGGGGAUGCACUGAGCAUCUAAAAGUAGAGCAGCUUCCAGUGUUGCAAAGAUUACUUCAUCGGCUUCAGCGGAACACUGCCCCAAAUUUCCUUGACCUUGUACUGAGAGGGACAAGAUGAGGUACAAGAAAUAUAUGACUAUUCUGGAAGCAGCAGUGGGCAUCACUCCACUGAACAAAAGAGAACUUCUACCUGAGAGCAGAAGACACGUGAACCUUUGGCAGCAACCUGGGGUGCGAAGUACUACCUUGCUGUCAUCUCCUUGUGAGUGGGAUUGGCAUCCCAGCUGCAACUCUUGGCACAAGUGCUCCAGGAAACACAGACACGUGCCAACAGACAGCCUGCUUUACCAGGCAUGUGGGAAACUGGACUGGAAACUUUCCCUGCAUUGGAAAGCCAAGUUGAACCAUUGGACCACCAGGGAAGUCCCGGGAGUGCCUUCAUGAUUCUAAUCCACCACCCAGUGUACAGGCCAACUCAAUUGCUUAGUUAGCCUGGAAACUUUUCAUGUCGGGUUCUUUUGCUCCCAUGUAAUGAUACGUUAUAAAAUCAUGUUGCAAGUAUGUAUGUGUGUGUGUGUGUUUAUCCCCAAAUCUUAAUGUUCUUGAGGAAAUCUGAUUAAAAGUGUUUAGUUUUUUACAGUUAUUUCAGGUCCUCUGACCCUGCUUUAAAGACUUUAUACACUGUAAUACAUAAUGACAAGUGUUAAAACAUUUCAUAAACAAUAACUACAAUUAAAAAAUAAAAGUAUACACAGUCCUCACCAUUAAUCAAAUCAUAUUCUCAUAUACUUUCCAAUUCUUUUAUAUAUAUAUAGUAAUUUUUUGUUAUUGCCAUCAGGAUAGAUAGUGUUUUUGUUUGGUUGUUUUUUUUCCCCGCACUGUGUGCUUGUGAGAUCUUAGUUCCCCAGCCAGCCUGGGCCGUGACAGUGAAAGUGCAAAGUCCUAACUGCUGGACUGUCAGGGGACUCCCGAGGAUAGAUGCUAUUUGUACUCUUUCUCAUUGGUUAUUAUAUUGUUAUUAUCCUUGUUGCUCCACAGACUUCCUUAUAUAAUUUUGAAUGAUGACUUGCUAUGCCCAUUAAUUUGAUCUGCUGUAGUUUAACAGUUCUCCAGCCUUGGACAGCGAUGGUUUCCAUCCUAUGUUAUUAUACAUACGAUGAAGCGCUGCCCCACCUCCCAGUCACCUGCUGUCAUCUAACCUCCAAUCCUGUCUUGUUAUUGAGACAGCUCUGGCCAGGAUGAUCUGUGGUUCUCGGUGAACAUCUUCUGUUCUUAACUGAACUCUUCAAAGUUCCAUGUUGGCUGUUCUUCCCUUCUUGAAAUUCAUUCUUCUUUUGACUUUUUGGACACCUUACUGCAGUGGAUUUUUUUUUUUUCCCCUUUCUGGCAGUUCCUCUUUUAUCUCUACCCUGGGGUCUUAAGCUUGCCUCCUAAGUAUUGGCAUUCCCUGGAAUCUUCCCUAAGUAUUGGCAUACCCUUAUUCUUUUCCUGCCUCAGUUUUUGUCAUGUCUCUGAAUACUCUCAUUACCUCCCAUGACAUCAGCUUUCCUGAUACACUGGCAAUUUCAAAUCUCUUCCUCUACCGCAAACCUCUCUACCUAAGAUCUCGUUAAUGCCUGGCACAUAGUAGACACUUGAACAUCUCCACCUGGAGGACCCAUGACCCUCAAAACUCAAUCAGUCCCUAACUAAACUCACUAUCCUUCCUCAAGCCCCUCCCAAGAUCUGUUCCCAUUCCUUUGUUUCCUAUUUUGGCAAAAGACACUGUCAUCUACUUAGUUAAGCCAGAAACCUGAGAGUCACCUUAGACUCACUUCCCUCUUCCUUACCUCAUAUCUGAUCAGGCAGUCACCCAGCCUGCUGAUUCCACUUCCUUCAUCCCUUGAACUGGCCUAUUUUGUCUAACUUCAUAAUCACAUCAUCUCUCACCUGCAUUCCCACAAAAAUCCUUUUUUUUGUUUGCUGUUGGCCUUGUCAUUCUUACUGAUGCCCCUCCCUGCAACCCCCACCCAACUCAUCCAUUUUCUAAGAAGCUGACAGAGCGAUCUUCAAAAAAUGCCAGUCGAAUCCCACUCCUGCAGUGUCACAGUAGACCACAAACUCUGUUUGCCUGAACAACCUUACCUCCUGCUACCUCAACAGCAAGUCUGUGAUCUCUUCCUUUUUCUCCACUUGUUAUUUGUUGUCUUCACCUGGAAAGCUUUCUCCUCUUUUUGUCUCACGAAGUCAUUCCUCCCUGUCCUUUAGAAUGUGUAAGCUGCUGUCUCAUCUCUGGAAAGACUUCACUAAACCCCAUACCCCUGUCUGGGUGAGGAACCCCUCCAGAAAGACCCUAGACUACUCUGAGCUGCCAGGAAUCUUGGUACUUAAAUGGUUUCUUAUAAUUUACUAACUGUCUACUGUAGUAGGCUGAACUCUGAGGCUACAGCCUAACUAAGUCUUGUAUCAGGGGGUUCUGACUUUAUAGAAAGUGUUUAGUAAUUAUUUGUUGGAUAGAAGUUCUUUGGAGAAACAAAAUUCUAGGAAUGGGGUUCACAUGUGCAAGCCCACUUGUGAGAAAUAUGUACUAGUAUAACUUGCUUUUCCAAAGAGUUGUAUAGAUUUAUACUGCCACCAGCAAUGGUACUGUAUCAAUUGAAAGACUUUUUUCAACAUGAGUCAGAACUAUGUAUUGUGUCCGAAUGUUGGUAUUUCUACUAUAAAAGUAUGUCAUCAUUUGGAGUACUGUAAUGUAUUAGAAGGGCUUCCCUGGUGGCUCAGUGAUAAAGAAUCUACCUGCCCAAUCAGGAGACUUGGGUUUGAUCCCUGGAUCCAGAAGAUCCCAUGGAGAGGGAAAUUGCCACCCACUCCAGUAUUCUUGCCUGGGAAAUCCCAGGGACAGAGGAGCCUGGCAGGCUACAGUCCAUGGAGAUGAAAACAGUUGGACAUGCCUUAGCGACUAAUAAAUAGCCACAAUGCAAUAGAACUUUAUGCAGCGAUGGACAUCCUAUAUCUACACUAUUCAAUACGGGAACCACAAAUGUGUGGCUACUGACUGAGCACUGGAGAUAUGACUAACAUGACUAAGAAACUGGACUUUUAGUUUCUUUUAGUUUUAAUUUAAAUUUAAAUGUAUCUGAUACUCACAUGUGACAAGUGGUUAUCAUAUUGGACAAUGCAACUCUAGAGAGAAAAAGGAAAAUCAUUCAGCAGAUAUAAUUGCUACAUUCUGGGUUCCUUUCUUUUUAAAUGCUAGUGGUAUAAGCUCACAUCACUAAGGUGUGACCAGUUCACAUAUGGUGUCAUUGUUAUUAUUAGUCAGCACUGCCUAAUUUGGGAAACAUUUUUUUUUUUAAAUGGUGCUUUCAUCAGGAGAGUAACACCUUACCUCAGGAAUACAACCA
RNAcentral lists this long non-coding RNA (4174 nucleotides) under Capra hircus (goat). Its description in RNAcentral is "lncRNA (ENSCHIG00000007912.1)". Lineage: Eukaryota; Metazoa; Chordata; Mammalia; Artiodactyla; Bovidae. The record is from RNAcentral.